Molecule: ribosomal RNA, 483 nt
Filed under: uncultured bacterium
Lineage: Bacteria
Description: partial 16S ribosomal RNA
Rfam family: Bacterial small subunit ribosomal RNA
Source: RNAcentral
AUUGAACGCUGGCGGCAUGCUUUACACAUGCAAGUCGAACGGCAGCACGGGCUUCGGCCUGGUGGCGAGUGGCGAACGGGUGAGUAAUAUAUCGGAACGUACCCAGAAGUGGGGGAUAACGUAGCGAAAGUUACGCUAAUACCGCAUACGAUCUAUGGAUGAAAGCAGGGGACCGCAAGGCCUUGUGCUCCUGGAGCGGCCGAUAUCUGAUUAGCUAGUUGGUGAGGUAAAGGCUCACCAAGGCGACGAUCAGUAGCUGGUCUGAGAGGACGACCAGCCACACUGGAACUGAGACACGGUCCAGACUCCUACGGGAGGCAGCAGUGGGGAAUUUUGGACAGUGGGCGCAAGCCUGAUCCAGCAAUGCCGCGUGAGUGAAGAAGGCCUUCGGGUUGUAAAGCUCUUUUGUCAGGGAAGAAACGGUAGAGGCUAAUAUCCUUUGCUAAUGACGGUACCUGAAGAAUAAGCACCGGCUAACUACGU